UUUGUUUGCCCAUUCCAGAGAAAAUUUGUACAUUUUGCCAGUUCAUGUUGACAAGUGUCUUCAUAAGUGAGUUUAACCAGUUCAUUCAAAGAUGCAAAUUCAUUCUGAAACAGUAUAAGGAAGUGACUUUGAGUAAGUGAAUCAUUAACUCAUCUAAUUAGAAAUACUUUGUGUCUCUUAUAUUUCCAGCGUCAACGUAAUAGAAUUGAUGUAGACACUCUGCGAGCACUAAUUGAAAGCAAAGGUCUGAGUAUAUUGAAGGAUUAUGAAGCUUCAGGAAUGCUUUCAGAGACAUCAAGAAAAGUCCUUGUGAAGAUAGGUGUCAGUGCGUUGGUGGAACAAAGUGGAUUUUACCCUUGUAAUGAUGAGAAGCGGAUGUUGGCAGAAAGUGUAGUAACACUGUUUCCUUCUCUGAAGAUCAAGAUGGGAGAAGAGAAUGAAGGAUUUGAACAUUUCUAUGACCCAGUCUCCCACAGUGGAUUUAUUGAGAUGAGACUUA
This is a long non-coding RNA of Puntigrus tetrazona (Sumatra barb), 499 nucleotides long. RefSeq lists it as uncharacterized. The record is from RefSeq and is a predicted model, not a curated record. NCBI's taxonomy places the organism in Eukaryota, Metazoa, Chordata, Actinopteri, Cypriniformes, Cyprinidae. The transcript is spliced from 3 exons.